UACGGAGGAUGCGAGCGUUAUCCGGAUUUAUUGGGUUUAAAGGGUGCGUAGGCGGGUUAUCAAGUCAGCGGUAAAAUCGUGGAGCUCAACUCCAUCCAGCCGUUGAAACUGAUGAUCUUGAGUGGGCGAGAAGUAUGCGGAAUGCGUGGUGUAGCGGUGAAAUGCAUAGAUAUCACGCAGAACUCCGAUUGCGAAGGCAGCAUACCGGCGCCUGACUGACGCUGAAGCACGAAAGCGUGGGUAUCGAACAGG
RNAcentral lists this ribosomal RNA (252 nucleotides) under uncultured bacterium. RNAcentral describes it as "partial 16S ribosomal RNA". It matches the Rfam family "Bacterial small subunit ribosomal RNA", at positions 524 to 776 of the family's 1533-position model. The record is from RNAcentral.